GACGAACGCUGGCGGCGCGCCUAACACAUGCAAGUCGAACGAGCGAGAGAGAGCUUGCUUUCUCGAGCGAGUGGCGAACGGGUGAGUAACGCGUGAGGAACCUGCCUCAAAGAGGGGGACAACAGUUGGAAACGACUGCUAAUACCGCAUAAGCCCACAGGUCGGCAUCGACCAGAGGGAAAAGGAGCAAUCCGCUUUGAGAUGGCCUCGCGUCCGAUUAGCUAGUUGGUGAGGUAACGGCCCACCAAGGCGACGAUCGGUAGCCGGACUGAGAGGUUGAACGGCCACAUUGGGACUGAGACACGGCCCAGACUCCUACGGGAGGCAGCAGUGGGGAAUAUUGCACAAUGGGGGAAACCCUGAUGCAGCGACGCCGCGUGGAGGAAGAAGGUCUUCGGAUUGUAAACUCCUGUUGUUGAGGAAGAUAAUGACGGUACUCA
RNAcentral lists this ribosomal RNA (440 nucleotides) under uncultured bacterium. Its description in RNAcentral is "bacterial SSU rRNA". It matches the Rfam family "Bacterial small subunit ribosomal RNA", at positions 28 to 481 of the family's 1533-position model. The record is from RNAcentral.